This 90-nucleotide transfer RNA is filed under the name Galanthus nivalis (common snowdrop). Its description in RNAcentral is "tRNA-Ser". It matches the Rfam family "tRNA". Rfam says of the family: Transfer RNA (tRNA) molecules are approximately 80 nucleotides in length. Their secondary structure includes four short double-helical elements and three loops (D, anti-codon, and T loops). Further hydrogen bonds mediate the characteristic L-shaped molecular structure. tRNAs have two regions of fundamental functional importance: the anti-codon, which is responsible for specific mRNA codon recognition, and the 3' end, to which the tRNAs corresponding amino acid is attached (by aminoacyl-tRNA synthetases). tRNAs cope with the degeneracy of the genetic code in two manners: having more than one tRNA (with a specific anti-codon) for a particular amino acid; and 'wobble' base-pairing, i.e. permitting non-standard base-pairing at the 3rd anti-codon position. The record is from RNAcentral. Lineage: Eukaryota; Viridiplantae; Streptophyta; Magnoliopsida; Asparagales; Amaryllidaceae. RNAcentral also lists the same sequence under 7 other names.
GGGAGAGGUGGCUGAGUGGUUGAUAGCUCCGGUCUUGAAAACCGGUAUAGUUCCGAUAACUAUCGAGGGUUCGAAUCCCUCUCUCUCCUU